AAUUGACGGGACCGCACAAGCGGUGGAUGAUGUGGUUUAAUUCGAUGCAACGCGAAAACCUUACCCACCUUUGACAUGUACGGAAUCCUUUAGAGAUAGAGGAGUGCUCGAAAGAGAGCCGUAACACAGGUGCUGCAUGGCUGUCGUCAGCUCGUGUCGUGAGAUGUUGGGUUAAGUCCCGCAACGAGCGCAACCCUUGUCAUUAGUUGCUACAUUCAGUUGGGGCACUCUAAUGAGACUGCCGGUGACAAACCGGAGGAAGGUGGGGAUGACGUCAAGUCCUCAUGGCCCUUAUAGGUGGGGCUACACACGUCAUACAAUGGAUGGUACAAAGGGUCGCCAACCCGCGAGGGGGAGCCAAUCCCAUAAAGCCAUUCGUAGUCCGGAUCGCAGUCUGCAACUCGACUGCGUGAAGUCGGAAUCGCUAGUAAUCGUGGAUCAGAAUGUCACGGUGAAUACGCUCCCGGGUCUU
Molecule: ribosomal RNA, 472 nt
Filed under: uncultured Acidovorax sp.
Lineage: Bacteria; Pseudomonadati; Pseudomonadota; Betaproteobacteria; Burkholderiales; Comamonadaceae
Description: bacterial SSU rRNA
Rfam family: Bacterial small subunit ribosomal RNA
Source: RNAcentral